GGGUUGUGAGGUUAAGCGACUAAGCGUACACGGUGGAUGCCCUGGCAGUCAGAGGCGAUGAAGGACGUGCUAAUCUGCGAUAAGCGUCGGUAAGGUGAUAUGAACCGUUAUAACCGGCGAUUUCCGAAUGGGGAAACCCAGUGUGAUUCGUCACACUAUCAUUAACUGAAUCCAUAGGUUAAUGAGGCGAACCGGGGGAACUGAAACAUCUAAGUACCCCGAGGAAAAGAAAUCAACCGAGAUUCCCCCAGUAGCGGCGAGCGAACGGGGAGGAGCCCAGAGCCUGAAUCAGUGUGUGUGUUAGUGGAAGCGUCUGGAAAGGCGCGCGAUACAGGGUGACAGCCCCGUACACAAAAAUGCACAUGCUGUGAGCUCGAUGAGUAGGGCGGGACACGUGGUAUCCUGUCUGAAUAUGGGGGGACCAUCCUCCAAGGCUAAAUACUCCUGACUGACCGAUAGUGAACCAGUACCGUGAGGGAAAGGCGAAAAGAACCCCGGCGAGGGGAGUGAAAAAGAACCUGAAACCGUGUACGUACAAGCAGUGGGAGCACGCUUAGGCGUGUGACUGCGUACCUUUUGUAUAAUGGGUCAGCGACUUAUAUUCUGUAGCAAGGUUAACCGAAUAGGGGAGCCGAAGGGAAACCGAGUCUUAACUGGGCGUUAAGUUGCAGGGUAUAGACCCGAAACCCGGUGAUCUAGCCAUGGGCAGGUUGAAGGUUGGGUAACACUAACUGGAGGACCGAACCGACUAAUGUUGAAAAAUUAGCGGAUGACUUGUGGCUGGGGGUGAAAGGCCAAUCAAACCGGGAGAUAGCUGGUUCUCCCCGAAAGCUAUUUAGGUAGCGCCUCGUGAAUUCAUCUCCGGGGGUAGAGCACUGUUUCGGCAAGGGGGUCAUCCCGACUUACCAACCCGAUGCAAACUGCGAAUACCGGAGAAUGUUAUCACGGGAGACACACGGCGGGUGCUAACGUCCGUCGUGAAGAGGGAAACAACCCAGACCGCCAGCUAAGGUCCCAAAGUCAUGGUUAAGUGGGAAACGAUGUGGGAAGGCCCAGACAGCCAGGAUGUUGGCUUAGAAGCAGCCAUCAUUUAAAGAAAGCGUAAUAGCUCACUGGUCGAGUCGGCCUGCGCGGAAGAUGUAACGGGGCUAAACCAUGCACCGAAGCUGCGGCAGCGACGCUUAUGCGUUGUUGGGUAGGGGAGCGUUCUGUAAGCCUGUGAAGGUGUGCUGUGAGGCAUGCUGGAGGUAUCAGAAGUGCGAAUGCUGACAUAAGUAACGAUAAAGCGGGUGAAAAGCCCGCUCGCCGGAAGACCAAGGGUUCCUGUCCAACGUUAAUCGGGGCAGGGUGAGUCGACCCCUAAGGCGAGGCCGAAAGGCGUAGUCGAUGGGAAACAGGUUAAUAUUCCUGUACUUGGUGUUACUGCGAAGGGGGGACGGAGAAGGCUAUGUUGGCCGGGCGACGGUUGUCCCGGUUUAAGCGUGUAGGCUGGUUUUCCAGGCAAAUCCGGAAAAUCAAGGCUGAGGCGUGAUGACGAGGCACUACGGUGCUGAAGCAACAAAUGCCCUGCUUCCAGGAAAAGCCUCUAAGCAUCAGGUAACAUCAAAUCGUACCCCAAACCGACACAGGUGGUCAGGUAGAGAAUACCAAGGCGCUUGAGAGAACUCGGGUGAAGGAACUAGGCAAAAUGGUGCCGUAACUUCGGGAGAAGGCACGCUGAUAUGUAGGUGAAGUCCCUCGCGGAUGGAGCUGAAAUCAGUCGAAGAUACCAGCUGGCUGCAACUGUUUAUUAAAAACACAGCACUGUGCAAACACGAAAGUGGACGUAUACGGUGUGACGCCUGCCCGGUGCCGGAAGGUUAAUUGAUGGGGUCAGCGCAAGCGAAGCUCUUGAUCGAAGCCCCGGUAAACGGCGGCCGUAACUAUAACGGUCCUAAGGUAGCGAAAUUCCUUGUCGGGUAAGUUCCGACCUGCACGAAUGGCGUAAUGAUGGCCAGGCUGUCUCCACCCGAGACUCAGUGAAAUUGAACUCGCUGUGAAGAUGCAGUGUACCCGCGGCAAGACGGAAAGACCCCGUGAACCUUUACUAUAGCUUGACACUGAACAUUGAGCCUUGAUGUGUAGGAUAGGUGGGAGGCUUUGAAGUGUGGACGCCAGUCUGCAUGGAGCCGACCUUGAAAUACCACCCUUUAAUGUUUGAUGUUCUAACGUUGACCCGUAAUCCGGGUUGCGGACAGUGUCUGGUGGGUAGUUUGACUGGGGCGGUCUCCUCCUAAAGAGUAACGGAGGAGCACGAAGGUUGGCUAAUCCUGGUCGGACAUCAGGAGGUUAGUGCAAUGGCAUAAGCCAGCUUGACUGCGAGCGUGACGGCGCGAGCAGGUGCGAAAGCAGGUCAUAGUGAUCCGGUGGUUCUGAAUGGAAGGGCCAUCGCUCAACGGAUAAAAGGUACUCCGGGGAUAACAGGCUGAUACCGCCCAAGAGUUCAUAUCGACGGCGGUGUUUGGCACCUCGAUGUCGGCUCAUCACAUCCUGGGGCUGAAGUAGGUCCCAAGGGUAUGGCUGUUCGCCAUUUAAAGUGGUACGCGAGCUGGGUUUAGAACGUCGUGAGACAGUUCGGUCCCUAUCUGCCGUGGGCGCUGGAGAACUGAGGGGGGCUGCUCCUAGUACGAGAGGACCGGAGUGGACGCAUCACUGGUGUUCGGGUUGUCAUGCCAAUGGCACUGCCCGGUAGCUAAAUGCGGAAGAGAUAAGUGCUGAAAGCAUCUAAGCACGAAACUUGCCCCGAGAUGAGUUCUCCCUGACCCUUUAAGGGUCCUGAAGGAACGUUGAAGACGACGACGUUGAUAGGCCGGGUGUGUAAGCGCAGCGAUGCGUUGAGCUAACCGGUACUAAUGAACCGUGAGGCUUAACCUUACAACGCCGAAGGUGUUU
RNAcentral lists this ribosomal RNA (2931 nucleotides) under Escherichia coli. Its description in RNAcentral is "23S ribosomal RNA". It matches the Rfam family "Bacterial large subunit ribosomal RNA". Lineage: Bacteria; Pseudomonadati; Pseudomonadota; Gammaproteobacteria; Enterobacterales; Enterobacteriaceae. The record is from RNAcentral.